CAACCUUAGCGGUGGAUCAUCGCUCGUGCUCGAUGAAGAACGCAGCUACUGCGAGAAUAAAUGUGAAUUGCAGACACAUUGAUCAUCGACACGAAGCACUUGGCCCGGUUCCUCCCGGCUACGCCUGCCGAGCGUCG
Gallus gallus (chicken) is the source of this 137-nucleotide non-coding RNA. The record is from Rfam. Lineage: Eukaryota; Metazoa; Chordata; Aves; Galliformes; Phasianidae.